UAACCAUUUUGUUGUUGGAGGUAAUUAGCUGGAAUCACAUUAUCUGCUGCUCUGAUUUAUUUCUUACAACAGAUCGUUUCACUCGAUGAUGUAAAUUAAUCUGUGUUGACUUUUGUUUUGUUUUUUAAAGAUGGGUGUCAUGCAACCACGAAAGCUACAGCAGCUGGCCAUCUAAGAAACUUUCCCUCUCUUUCUCUUUCAUUCUUCUUUUGCACUCUUUUUAUCCUCUCAGCAACUUUUCUCACAUGGUUCUCAGACCCUGGAACCUCACGCUUUUUAUCAUGCAUUCGUGAAUUCCUUGGAGUUGGUACAAUCAUCUUAAAGACAAAGAGGCUUGUGUUUUAUUCAAUUGGCGACCUUUUGAAAAAAAGUCUUCAAUUAACCAUUAACCUGGAAUGUGGGAGGAAGAUGGAGUACCAAGAAAAAGCCCACAUAAGGAUUGGGAGAACAUGCAAACUGCACAAAGGACAUUUGAACCCAGAACCUUGCAAGUGUGAGCCAGGUGGCUGCGUGCAUUCUCAACAACGUCUCAGUCAUGGAACCGAAACGGCGGAGAGACCGCAACUCUGCCUCGUGACCUUUUGUUCUGUCACGCGCAGAAACGCAAGCGCAAACUGUCAAACAAUAAAAGCAGCGA
Molecule: long non-coding RNA, 637 nt
Organism: Syngnathus typhle (broad-nosed pipefish)
Lineage: Eukaryota; Metazoa; Chordata; Actinopteri; Syngnathiformes; Syngnathidae
Exons: 3
Source: RefSeq, a predicted model, not a curated record